UGUGUUGAUCCUGCCAUUCCUCUUAUGCUUGCCUCAAAGACCAAGCCUUGCAUGUCUUAGUAUACACCACUUAUACUGUGAAACUGCUAAUGGCUCACUCCAGCAGCUAUCCUUGAUUUGAUGUUUCUUGCUACAUGCACCACUGCGGUAAUUCAACCAGCUAAUACCUGCUUCAAAAGCCCCCACUUCUGGAAGGGGUGUAUUUAUUAGAUAAAAACCAUCCUCCUCGUUAGUUUGGUGAUUCAUAAUAACUUCUCCAAUCGCACGGCCUUGUGCUGGCGAUGCUUCAUUCACAUAUCUGCCCUAUCUUCUGUCAAUGGUAAGACACAUGCCUAACAUGGUCGCUUCUGGUAACGGGGAAUAAUGGUUCGAUUCCGGAGAGGGAGCCUGACAAACAGCUACCACAUCCAAAGAAGGCAACAAGCGCGCAAAUUACCCAUUCCCGACACGGGUUAGGUAGUGACAAUAAAUAACAAGGCUUGGCCCUUUUGAGUCUUGUAAUUGUAAUGAGUACAAUUUCAAUCCCUUAACGAGGAACUAUUGGACGGCA
RNAcentral lists this ribosomal RNA (550 nucleotides) under uncultured eukaryote. Its description in RNAcentral is "bacterial SSU rRNA". It matches the Rfam family "Eukaryotic small subunit ribosomal RNA", at positions 1 to 557 of the family's 1831-position model. The record is from RNAcentral.